GUGACAGAGAGACCCUGUCUCAAUAAAAAGAGCUUAAAGAUUUGCCUAAGGGUCCCAAGUAACAGUGGCAGAAUUGUGGUUGGAAACCACUGAAUUGGAAUCACUGGAAGGCAAAGCUUUGGCAUCUCUAGAAAAAUCCCUACAAACAAUUCUCAUUUGCAGUCAGAAUUAAGAACCACCAACCUAGGCUUUCUGCCUAAGCCAGUGCUGUGUCCAGAGUAAGCACUGUCCCUCAGAAAGCCAUGAGAAUUACACGCUGCUUAGUGUAUGCUUAAAGUUGUAAGCUUUUGGAAAGCGAGGCCAGUUUGAGGUAAAUUUGGAGACAGAGAUAUUUUAGGACAGCCUCACCAAGUAUAUUCCAUUAGGAAAGGUGAGAACCCUGGGAGAGUCUGAAGGGUCCAAGGUCACACCAGGAGAAAAGGGAUGGCAUGUACCUAAGGAAGAGGGAACCCCCGCACUCCUCAUCUCGGGAACUUCUAUGGCCUUCUUGAAGGCUUGCAAAAGAGCAGAGAAUAAGAGGUGUCUCCGGAGGCCCAGAGAGUACUAGGGGGAAGCUCUAGGUAUGCACACAAAUCUGGCAAGUUACAGUUUUGCCCACUAUCAUUGCCAAGUCCUUGUGCCUCAGUGGCUUGGUGGGGACUCUUUCUUAUUGGUUGCUUCUAGGAACUCCACCCAGCUUCAGCAGGGGACACACUUCCCUCUACACUUCCUGUCACUCCUUUUGCCCACUUAGGUAAUGGAAACUUGUUUUUAGGGAGCAGCCAGCUCAGACACAUGGUCCCUGUGUACUUGAACAGCCAUGGAAAAGCUGCAAGGCAGCUUGGCGCUCACUGGCAAUAAUUCCUUCAUCUUAUCUCAACAAAUCAGAUUCUCAAGACCAGCUGCUCCCCAGACUUGCUUAUUCUUUGUUCUAAGAAGACAGUUCCCAAUGGAUGUGCCCCUGUGAAAACACCCUGGUAAACAUUUGCUUUGUUAUUGAAAUUUCACUCUAAAAUCCCAAAGCUAGGCCAAGCCCCAUUACUAGUUUUACUGAUGAAGAAAUCAAGGCAUUUUUAAAAGAGUAACUUGUUGAGUUGGCGGGUGCUUGGAAGAAGUGGCUUAGGGUCUUUUCAAUUUCUGUGGCUUCCAGGGGUGGGCCUCUGAGAUGGCCCUUAGCAGACGUCCUGCGAUGCACUGCAUGGCUCUUGUUGAAAGUAUCAGGGGUGGCCUGCCUGCGUCUGGAACCACAGCAGCUUCAACUUCCUCCACACUUCCUUCUAUGGGAAGGUGACCAGCACAAACCCGCUCUGAAAAGUCUUGGGGACCAAAUCUCUCUCUGAGAGGGAGGUAGGCGCAGUUCAUCCACUAAGUUUGCCCACCUGUUCUGUGACUCCUCUUCACCAUUCUCCCAGCAACGACUGAGCCUCAUGACUUGGGGGCUGGGGGAUGAGGUGGAGGUGGGGGAUAUAAUAUAGGAGAUGGUACAAUGCAGGGGCAGUGGCUGGUGUGUUCUCCAGGACAAGUGGCACCACGCACUGAAAGACUUUUCAAGAUAAACACAACUUUGUCUCUUCAGCCUGGCAAGAGCUGAGGCACUGAAAACUAUUUUUUUCCCCUAGAAAAUGACACACUCUGCUCCUACGGGUCCCUUUGAUUUUGUCCUGGUGGAAAGCAACAUAGAGAAGAACGUGAACAGGAAUACGUAUAUUUCAGUUGUCAUCUGAGUCCUGUGGACAGGAGGCUCAAUUCUCUUCUUCAUCUUUCAGAUCUCCGCAGACCCUGCCCUCUCACUGUACAAUUCAGAGAUUGACACUCAGCAGGCAUUCAAUAAAUGUCUGUGUCAAGUGAGAACAAUUUGAUGGGGCAAGUAGGAGUCAAUCCUGCAUCCCUCCCUCCCUUUUUUUCCUCUCCAUUCGACCUUUAGGGCUCUGGUUUCCUGUAAGCAGUGAAUUAUUUACCUCUGCUCAUAGAUAUCAAAUUGGCCCUUCCCAGGUUGCAGCAGGGUGGGGCGGGAGGCGGCUUUGUUCAGUCUGUUAAUAGGAGGAGCAACCUCCUUGUUCAAACAGCACUUACAGGUGGGGGCCUGUUUUUGCUAAGUCAUCCUGGGGAUGCUCAAAGCUCCGUUGUUAGAUCCUUUCUGUCCUCCUUCCUGGCUCCUCCUUCCUCCCCACCCCUCGAAUAGGCUCAUAAGUGGGCUCAGGCCUCUCUGCGGGGCUCACUCUGCGCUUCACCAUGGCUUUCAUUGCCAAGUCCUUCUAUGACCUCAGUGCAAUCAGCCUGGAUGGGGAGAAGGUAGAUUUCAAUACGUUCCGGGGCAGGGCCGUGCUGAUUGAGAAUGUGGCUUCGCUCUGAGGCACAACCACCCGGGACUUCACCCAGCUCAACGAGCUGCAAUGCCGCUUUCCCAGGCGCCUGGUGGUCCUUGGCUUCCCCUGCAACCAAUUUGGACAUCAGAACUGCUCAGGGUAGACUGGAGACAAAAGCAACAGCUCAGAAGAGCUAAAUCGUGAAGAGCAGCUAAAGCAUGGGCAACAAAGUGAGACCCCAUCUCUAUAAAAAAAAAAAUUAGCCGGGCAUGGUGGCCUGUGUCUGUAGUCUGAGCUACUAAAGAGGCUGAGGCAGGAGGAAUGCUUGAGCCCAGAAGUUCAAGGCUGCAGAGAACUGUCAGAAUGAGGAGAUCCUGAACAGUCUCAAGUAUGUCCGUCCUGGGGGUGGAUACCAGCCCACCUUCACCCUUGUCCAAAAAUGUGAGGUGAAUGGGCAGAACGAGCAUCCUGUCUUCGCCUACCUGAAGGACAAGCUCCCCUACCCUUAUGAUGACCCAUUUUCCCUCAUGACCGAUCCCAAGCUCAUCAUUUGGAGCCCUGUGCGCCGCUCAGAUGUGGCCUGGAACUUUGAGAAGUUCCUCAUAGGGCCGGAAGGAGAGCCCUUCCGACGCUACAGCCGCACCUUCCCAACCAUCAACAUUGAGCCUGACAUCAAGCGCCUCCUUAAAGUUGCCAUAUAGACGUGAGCUGCUCAGCACACAGAUCUCCUACUCCAUCCAGUCCUGAGGAGCCUUAGGAUGCAGCAUGCCCUCAGGAGACACUGCUGGACCUCAGCAUUCCCUUGAUAUCAGUCCCCUUCACUGCAGAGCCUUGCCUUUCCCCUCUGCCUGUUUCCUUUUCCUCUCCCAACCCUCUGGUUGGUGAUUCAACUUGGGCUCCAAGACUUGGGUAAGCUCUGGGCCUUCACAGAAUGAUGGCACCUUCCUAAACCCUCAUGGGUGGUGUCUGAGAGGGGUGAAGGGCCUGGAGCCACCCUGCUAGAAGAGACCAAUAAAGGGCAGGUGUGGAAACGGCCA
Nomascus leucogenys (northern white-cheeked gibbon) is the source of this 3322-nucleotide RNA transcript. It is a transcript of the gene named glutathione peroxidase 2, with no coding region annotated. NCBI's taxonomy places the organism in Eukaryota, Metazoa, Chordata, Mammalia, Primates, Hylobatidae. The transcript is spliced from 3 exons. The record is from RefSeq and is a predicted model, not a curated record.